GAGCACUAACCAGCAAGCUUCUCCAGGUGAAUGCAGAGAGAGAAGCUGAAGUUGAGCUUGACCAACAUUCCUCCUUUAGAGACAAAAGGAAUUUAACAAGUCUCUUCCAGUAAGUCUGUCACCUGUCACCUGUUGCUUUUGACCAG
Molecule: long non-coding RNA, 146 nt
Filed under: Ictidomys tridecemlineatus (thirteen-lined ground squirrel)
Lineage: Eukaryota; Metazoa; Chordata; Mammalia; Rodentia; Sciuridae
Description: lncRNA (ENSSTOG00000031379.1)
Source: RNAcentral